AAGGAAGAGCAGGUGCGAAGAACGAUUGUGUGCGGCCGCAAUGAAAAUCCGGAUCUCUCGAUAAGAAAACAUGCCAAAAAGCUUGGCAUAGUUUUCGGUGUUUAAAAAAUCGUUUGAUGCUCGCUCUACAACAACUAGAAAGAAGGAAAGUGGCACAAAAACAGAUCUGAGGAACCGCCAUAAGAAUGCGAAUGUUACGUAGGAGACCAGGGGUGACAUUGCGCAUUUCGAAACGAGUGAUUUUUGUUCGUUUCAGCCAUUUGGACAUGCCUUUGACCAGCUUUGUUUACGAAUCCAAAAAUAUUACAUUUCUCUACGGGACAAAUUUUGCUCUAAAUUUAGUACAUCGAAAAUAUGAACUUGAAAACGAUACAUAAUACUAAAACCAAUUCGAUUUGAGUUCGGAUUUUCUCGAAACGAGUUACUCGUUUCGAAAUGCGCAAUGCCACCCAAGAUCUUUCUGUACGUAUCAUUGCUUGUACCUUGCACCGACAGCACAUGAAGUUUUUCAUUGUGAAGACUGUGCGGAACUGUAGUGUUAAGCAGAAUACGUCGGGAAAAAAAACGCUUCAAUAAGCUUCAUCGCGAAUAAUUGACGAAGUUUCCAUGCGUUAUAAUGGACGAUGAAACGUAUUUCCUAGAACACUUCAAACAGCUCCCUGGAGUAAGAAGAAGGCCAAGUUCCCCAAAAAAUAUUUAGUAUGGCAGGCUAUAUGCAACUGUGGUCGAACAAGCAGAAAAACGACCGUUCCUAUGCAGCUGUCAUGUACUCUCGUUGUUCUGGCCUGAAUUGGCAUCCUGUCACUACGCCAAGAAAGUUUUUGAAUGGUAUGAUGCUAAUGGAGUCCAAAUUGUAUCGAGCGAGGCGAAUCCACCUAACGGUAUUGACCUCUGAUGAAGAGAGAGCGCUGUCCCAGCCAGAGACCUUCCUGAUUUUUUAGGAUUUCCCAGACUUUUUAGCACACUCCCUGAUAUCCAGACGAACACUCAAUUAAUCCUGAUUUUUCUGAAAUGAUCCUGAUUUUUUCUGAUUUUUGUACUCUUUACAUUAUUCAUAAUUAAUAUACUGGUUUCCAACAUUGCUUUAUUGAGGAUAAUGUGUAUGUAGAUGUAUCCCCAUGUAGAAAUGUAGAAAUACAUUUCGGAGUGUAAAAUUACUCAAGGGAAAAUUUUUAAAUUCACAGUCAAUAUAAGAAGAUUUUCGUCUGAUUCAAAGUAUAAUCAACUUUAAUGAUGGAACUAUGGUUUUUAUAGUUAUAACGGUACUAAAUAUCAUAAAAUUUAGGAAAAAAUCAAUAAGUCUUCUGUUAAUAUAAUAAUAUUGUUAAUAUGCUUUCCUCAUUUGUUGAGUAAAGAUUCAUUCCAAAGCAUGCCAAAGCAUGGACGAUGAAUUCAGAGAAAUUUUGAAUAUUGAUUUCUCUGCAAUUGACUGUAGUGAUGCUGUAGGUUUUUCGGAAAAAAUAUAAACGAUCAAAGGUUAGGCGAAACACUAGUAUUUCCGCUUAUGCGACGAUUUAUACCAUGUUUAUUAAUUCUUUUACAUACCCUGCCUUCACCCGAAGAAAGAUAUACUCUGUUUCUGGUGGGAUUUGGAAUGAAUUCUGUAUUAUGAGCUACUACCAAGCAACUUGUUUCUCACAUGUAAGGCUCGCAGCAGUUUACGACGAGGAAACAAACAUGCUCUGGGCGGAUAGAAUCUGAGUGAAAGAUGGUGAAAGAUUGUGAAACAGAACUAUGGAUAUAAAAUCAAAUUAUAACGCUUUGAUUGAAAAUUAUGUUUUUGUUUUCCCAAAAAUCGACAUUAACUUUUCGGACAGCCCAUUAUGAACUAUUCUCAUUUAUCCUGAUUUCUAUUUUCUUUCUACCUGAUUUUUAAAAAUUAUAGUUGGUCACCCUGGUCCCAGCACAAACAACAAGCAACAACUAUAAAAAAUCGAAAAUCUUGGACAAACGCAGUUAAGUUGGUUGCCAAUAAGUCUACACUGAUCUUCAUGGCAGAGGUCAACUUCAAAAUUCGACAAUUUUUCAUGUAGACUAUAUGAAUAAUGGUAAUUUGUUUGAUAAUUAUUUACGAUACACAUAUUAAGGAAAUAAAAUUGUUUCAUGAAUUAAACUUCUAGAAAAUUUGUUUUAUUCCAGAAUUGAGGUGUCCAGAUUUUGUCGCAAACAAGCC
This is a long non-coding RNA of Toxorhynchites rutilus septentrionalis, 2173 nucleotides long. RefSeq lists it as uncharacterized. NCBI's taxonomy places the organism in Eukaryota, Metazoa, Arthropoda, Insecta, Diptera, Culicidae. The transcript is spliced from 3 exons. The record is from RefSeq and is a predicted model, not a curated record.